RNAcentral lists this ribosomal RNA (468 nucleotides) under uncultured bacterium. RNAcentral describes it as "partial 16S ribosomal RNA". It matches the Rfam family "Bacterial small subunit ribosomal RNA", at positions 28 to 507 of the family's 1533-position model. The record is from RNAcentral.
GACGAACGCUGGCGGCGUGCUUAACACAUGCCAGUCGAACGGAAAGGCCCUGCUUUUGUGGGGUGCUCGAGUGGCGAACGGGUGAGUAACACGUGAGUAACCUGCCCUUGACUUUGGGAUAACUUCAGGAAACUGGGGCUAAUACCGGAUAGGAGCUCCUGCUGCAUGGUGGGGGUUGGAAAGUUUCGGCGGUUGGGGAUGGACGCGCGGCUUAUCAGCUUGUUGGUGGGGUAGUGGCUUACCAAGGCUUUGACGGGUAGCCGGCCUGGGAGGGUGACCGGGCACAUGACUACUGCGGUACGCCCCAGACUCCUAUGGGAGGCAGCAGUGGGAAAUAUGACACAAUGGGACGACGCCUGAUGCAGCGACGCCGCGGUCGGGAAGACGUCCUGCUGGUUGUAAACCGCUUUCGCCUGUGACGAAGCGUGAGUGACGGUAAUGGGUAAAGAAGCACCGGCUAACUACGUG